CCUACGGGCGGCAGCAGUGAGUAAUAUUGGUCAAUGGCCGGAAGGCUGAACCAGCCAUGCCGCGUGAAGGUCAGUGCCCUAUGGGCGUUAAACUUCUUUUGUGCGGGAGCAAUAAUGGUCACGUGUGGCCAGACGAGAGUACCGUACGAAUAAGCAUCGGCUUACCCCGGUCCAGCAGCCGCGGUAAUACGGGGGAUGCAAGCGUUAUCCGGAUUUAUGGGGUUUAAAGGGUGCGUAGGCUGUGAGGUAAGUCGGCGGUGAAAUGCCCCCGCUCAACGGGGUGAAGUGCCAUUGAUACUGGCUUGCUGGAGUGCGGGUGACGUGGGAGGAAUGUGUGGUGUAGCGGUGAAAUGCAUAGAUAUCACACAGAACACCGAUUGCGAAGGCAUCUCACGAAUCCGCGAUUGACGCUGAUGCACGAAAGCGUGGGUAUCAAACAGGAUUAGAUACCCCUGUAGUC
RNAcentral lists this ribosomal RNA (460 nucleotides) under uncultured bacterium. RNAcentral describes it as "partial 16S ribosomal RNA". It matches the Rfam family "Bacterial small subunit ribosomal RNA", at positions 338 to 795 of the family's 1533-position model. The record is from RNAcentral.